Molecule: long non-coding RNA, 413 nt
Organism: Vicia villosa (hairy vetch)
Lineage: Eukaryota; Viridiplantae; Streptophyta; Magnoliopsida; Fabales; Fabaceae
Exons: 2
Source: RefSeq, a predicted model, not a curated record
GAUAAAAACUAUUUAAUUAAAGUUAACAAUGAAUGAAAUCAUUACUUAUAAAAGGAUAAAAGUUCUAUUUAUUGUAUGCAAAGAAGAAGAAAAAAAAUGGCUCACAUACUAAUGUUUUGUUAUGCAUUGGUCAUCUUCCUUUUUCUAUUUCUUGUUGAAACAAAGAAAGAAGAAUAUUUCGAUUUCUGCAACUCAUUCAUUGAUUGUCCAAAUGAUGAAGAUCAUUUUGCAACGUGCAUUAAUAAUGUUUGUGAGCUUUGGCCGUAUGAAUAAUUAGGUUAUAAAAUAACUAUGCUUUCUCUUAACAUCUGAUUUUAUUUUUACUGUAAUGAUAUUUGUACACUUAUAAGCUGUUGGCCGUAUGUAUGUAUAAUUAGUUUUAAAAAUGAUUAUGAUUUCUCUAAGCAUAUAAU